GGGGGCAUAGCUCAGUUGGUUAGAGCGCUUGCUCGACAAGCAAGAGGUCACAGGUUCGAGUCCCGUUGUCCCCACCA
Molecule: transfer RNA, 77 nt
Filed under: Eubacteriales Family XIII. Incertae Sedis bacterium
Lineage: Bacteria; Bacillati; Bacillota; Clostridia; Peptostreptococcales; Anaerovoracaceae
Description: tRNA-Val
Rfam family: tRNA
About the family: Transfer RNA (tRNA) molecules are approximately 80 nucleotides in length. Their secondary structure includes four short double-helical elements and three loops (D, anti-codon, and T loops).
Source: RNAcentral